AGUGAACGCUGGCGGUAGGCCUAACACAUGCAAGUCGAACGGCAGCACAGUAAGAGCUUGCUCUUACGGGUGGCGAGUGGCGGACGGGUGAGGAAUACAUCGGAAUCUACUUUUUCGUGGGGGAUAACGUAGGGAAACUUACGCUAAUACCGCAUACGACCUACGGGUGAAAGCAGGGGAUCUUCGGACCUUGCGCGAUUGAAUGAGCCGAUGUCGGAUUAGCUAGUUGGCGGGGUAAAGGCCCACCAAGGCGACGAUCCGUAGCUGGUCUGAGAGGAUGGUCAGCCACACUGGAGCUGAGACACGGUCCAGACGCCUACGGGAGGCAGCAGUGGGGAAUAUUGGACAAUGGGCGCAAGCCUGAUCCAGCCAUACCGCGUGGGUGGAGAAGGCCUUCGGGUUGUAAAGCCCUUUUGUUGGGAAAGAAAAGCAGCAGGUUAAUACCCCGCUGUUCUGACGGUACCCAAAGAAUAAGCACCGGCUAACUUCGUG
RNAcentral lists this ribosomal RNA (492 nucleotides) under uncultured bacterium. Its description in RNAcentral is "partial 16S ribosomal RNA". It matches the Rfam family "Bacterial small subunit ribosomal RNA", at positions 29 to 507 of the family's 1533-position model. The record is from RNAcentral.